Long non-coding RNA from Equus caballus (horse), 1626 nucleotides. The record is from Ensembl. Lineage: Eukaryota; Metazoa; Chordata; Mammalia; Perissodactyla; Equidae.
CUUGCCUCUGUGGAACGUGUAGCUGCCUCCAGGUAUCCCCAUCCCAACUCUUUCUGGGAGUUCCCAUCAAUUCCCAGAAGUGCUCAGUCAGCUCACUCAGCCACUGCGCAAUCAGGCAUUUUCCCUCCUUCACGCCAGACUCUGGGCUGUGUAGGUUGCCUGGUGUUGCCUGUCAGUGUGGGUGCAGGCUGCUGAUGAAUGUGUGGCCAUAAGGAGGCUACCCCUGCCAUGUCGAGGCCAGCUGAGGUCACUGGGGCUUUGCUCUGUGCCUGGAAAUGUCCCAGACUCUGCUGGUGUGCUGGAGCUCAGGUUGCGCCAAGGCUUCACUCUGUACUUUGAUUUCUCAAGUCUGCACUGGCUUCAUCUCCAAGUGGGGAAAAUUCCUACCCUCGUUUUAUUGUCUUUCAUAGGUGCCAAAGCAGCACUGAUUCGGGUGCCCAGUAUUUCCCAAACCUCUGAGCGAGGCAGCUCUCCUCUAUUCUGUGAAAGGCUCCUCCUCUCAGGCGAGGACCCAGGUCCCUGGAGGAAGACUCUCUCUUUGGCUCUUCUCACUUGUUUGCUCUGAUGAAGCAAGCUGGCAUGUUGUGAACUAUCUUAUGGAGGUGCCAGCAUGAUAAAGAACUGAGGACGGCAUCAGGCCAACAGUAAGUGAGAAACUGAGGCCCUUAAUCCAACAGCUGGAGAGGAACUGAAAUCUCUCAGCAGCCACUGAAGCUUAGAGACAGUUCCUCCACCAGUCCUGUUUUAAGAUGACUGCAGACCCAGCUGACAGCUUGAUUGCAGCCUUCCAAGAUGAUCCUCGUGAGAGAUCCAGGGCUGGAGGAUCCAGCUAAGCUGUGCCUAGAUUCCUGAUUUGCAGAAACAAUGCAGAUAUCUGCUAUGAAAAGGUGCCCUUUGGUGUACCUAGCUUAUAGUAGGUACUCAAAAAUAUUAAUUGAAUGAACUAAUGAAUACAUAAAUGAGAACAGUUAGAAAUAUAGCACUGGAAUUUAGCUAAGAUUUCAUAAAUGAAUUAGCAUUCUGAUGACCAGAGAAAUAUUUUUAUAUGGUUAAAACAUUUAGCCUUAUGGCGUUGGUGGAGAUGCACAGAAUAUGUUGAACAGUAAGACAUGACUGUAAUCUCCCACCAUGUAGCAGAGGUGUUCAUUUCCACAGCAAUAUGAUGACAAGAAAAUAAGAAAUAAGGGCAUUUAAUCUGUGGCAGAAAUGGCGUGAUGGUUAUUUUUACAUGUCAACUUGGCUAGGCUAUAUAUAUGGUUAUUUAAUCAAAUUCUAAUCUGGGUGUUGCUGUGAAGGUAUUUUAUAAAUGUGGUUGACAUGUACAAUCACUUGACUUUAAGUAAUCUGGGUGGGCCUCCUCCAAUUAAUUAAAGGUCUUAUGAGCAAAAACUGAGGUUUUCUGAAGAAGAAUUUCUGUCUCAGGACUAUAGUGUCAGUUUCUGCUUGAGUUUUCAGCCUACUGGCCUGUGGAUUUCAGAUUUACUGGCCCCUAAAAUGGUGUGAGCCAAUUCUUUAAAAUAAAUCUCAGUCUCUCUCUCUGCCCCUCGCACACAUCCUAUUAUUCCUUUUUCUCUGGAGAAUCCAGACUGAUACCGAUUGCUACUGCUCAGGGAGAAUGGAUGUGUG